AACGCUGGCAUCAUGCCUAACAGAUGCAAUUCGAACUGGACGAUUAUGCACCUUGAUCUCUUAAUGGUCACCGCCUUACUGAUGAGGAAUGUAUCCGAAUCUGCCACGUCGUGGGGGAUACUCCGGGGAAACCCUGAUUAUUACCGCAUACGACCUUCAAGUGAAAGCGGGGGAUCCUUCAGGGCCUCGCGUUAUUGGAUGAUCUCAUGCCCGAUUAGCUUGUUGGCCGCGUAAUGGCCCACCAAUGCGACAUAUCCCUACCUGGUCUGAUAGGAUGAUCAGCCACACUGGGACUGAGACAGUGCCCAGACUCCUACCGGAGGCAGCACUGG
RNAcentral lists this ribosomal RNA (332 nucleotides) under uncultured Lysobacteraceae bacterium. RNAcentral's name for it is "bacterial SSU rRNA". It matches the Rfam family "Bacterial small subunit ribosomal RNA", at positions 32 to 357 of the family's 1533-position model. Lineage: Bacteria; Pseudomonadati; Pseudomonadota; Gammaproteobacteria; Lysobacterales; Lysobacteraceae. The record is from RNAcentral.